UGGGGAAUAUUGCACAAUGGAGGGAACUCUGAUGCAGCGACGCCGCGUGAGUGAUGAAGGAAUUCGUUUCGUAAAACUCUGUUCUAUGGGAAGAAAAGGACUGUACCAUAGGAGAAAGCUCCGGCUAAAUACGUGCCAGCAGCCGCGGUAAUACGUAUGGAGCGAGCGUUGUCCGGAAUUAUUGGGCGUAAAGGGUGCGCAGGCGGCUUUACAAGUUGGAUGUGAAAUAUUGUGGCUCAACCACAAACGUGCAUCCAAAACUGCAAAGCUUGAGUUAAGGAGAGGGAAGUGGAAUUCCUGGUGUAGCGGUGGAAUGCGUAGAUAUCAGGAGGAAUACCGGUGGCGAAGGCGACUUACUGGACUUAAACUGACGCUCAGGCACGAAAGCGUGGGGAGCAAACAGG
This 404-nucleotide ribosomal RNA is filed under the name Fusobacteriota bacterium. Its description in RNAcentral is "Fusobacteria bacterium partial 16S ribosomal RNA". It matches the Rfam family "Bacterial small subunit ribosomal RNA", at positions 355 to 776 of the family's 1533-position model. Lineage: Bacteria; Fusobacteriati; Fusobacteriota. The record is from RNAcentral.